CGUAAAAAAAUAAAAUAAAAAAAAAAAAUUAUCAGUAGCACAAUGCGUAAUGGUAACUAUAAAAGUUUAGUAGUUACAAAAUAUUUAAUCAUGGGUCUUGUAAAUAAAUAAUAAUAAGUCGCGACAUUUUCAAAUCAUGAAUUAAAACUACUCCAUUUUUUAUUUCGCUUAUUUUUUUUUUAAUAUUAGCAAUUACAAACACUGGGAAAAACAAAAUGCAACAAUUUUGUUAGCAGUCCUUUAUUUAUUUGUUUUUUAUUUGUUUAUUCAUUUGUUUUUUAUUUGUUUAUUCANNNNNNNNNNUGUUUAUUCAUUUGUUUUUUAUUUGUUUAUUCAUUUGUUUUUUAUUUAUUUAUUUUUAACAUUAAUUUAUAUAUAUAUAUAUAUAUAUAUAUGUAUAUGUAUAUGUAUAUGUAUAUAUGUAUAUAUGUAUAUAUGUAUAUGUCAGUGUUUAUUUUUUGAAUUGUUCAAUGUGUAAGUAAUAUAACACUUAAAGUGUGGUUAAAAGAGUUGAAAAAGAGAUAGCCAAAAUAACAAAACAAAAAAGCUUAUGAAAUACAGGAAUUUGUAUAAAGUGUGUAUGAGGUCAUGAGUACACUUGUGUAUAGUAAAUAUACGAAUAAACAAAAUGGAAAAGAACAAAAUAGAGCACUUGGUGAAAGGCUUGAGCACGUUUGAAAUGUUUAUGAAUCAAUAUAUAGUAAAAUACAAAAACUCAAAAGUUUGUUAUGUUUGUAAGGUAAAAUAAAAAAUUCAAAAAAAAAGCGAACAAACAUGUACAUAUUUGUAAAAGCAUAUACAUAUGUUUAUGCAUGUACAUACGACAGAUGUUUUUUUUUUUUUUUUUUUUUUUUUUUCAAUUUUAAAGAAUAAGAUAACAAAUAAUCAUGUUGAAAAAAUGGAAAAUGUAUGUCCCAAAAUGUGGAAAUAUUUCCAUGGUCUUAUUAUACAACCACAAUGUCCAUUGCAAAGUUUUGGAAAGGUUAUGAAGGUAAAAGAUUUAAGGUUUGAAGAAUUAGAAAAAUAUAAGGAUAGUUUGCAGAGGAAAUAAAAAAUAAAUCAUUACUCUUUUCUUUCUCCCUUAAAAAAAAACAAAAACAAAAAAAGGCAGGGAGAGCAGAUAGUAUUAGAUGAAAGAGGUGAUGAAUAAAUAGAAAGGUUGAAAAGGAAAAUAAUAUAUU
RNAcentral lists this long non-coding RNA (1181 nucleotides) under Piliocolobus tephrosceles (Ugandan red Colobus). Its description in RNAcentral is "lncRNA (ENSPTEG00000014708.1)". Lineage: Eukaryota; Metazoa; Chordata; Mammalia; Primates; Cercopithecidae. The record is from RNAcentral.